RNAcentral lists this long non-coding RNA (317 nucleotides) under Lathyrus oleraceus (garden pea). RNAcentral describes it as "Pisum sativum (pea) long non-coding RNA (PSAT_LNC021709)". Lineage: Eukaryota; Viridiplantae; Streptophyta; Magnoliopsida; Fabales; Fabaceae. The record is from RNAcentral.
AAUCAGAGGCUCCUGCACAUACUCUUUUAUUUUUCAAAUGCCACUUGGCAAUCAUUGUUCCACCUUACCGUUUGAUCUCUUUUUUUUAUAUGGGUUCACACGUGGCUGUUAGAUGAGAUAUGAACCGUGAAAUACAGUUCAAUCUACCUAAGAAACCACGAACCUCUUUUUCUGUUCUCGGUUCAGGCAUUUCUCGUAUUGCUUUUUCUUUCUUUUUUUUUAGCAGGAUCAACCUCGAUUCCUCUUUCGCUCACAAUAAGCCCCAACAACUUACCGGACCGCACUCCGAAAGUGCACUUAUUCGGACUCAACCUCAG